This 78-nucleotide microRNA precursor is filed under the name Schistosoma mattheei. Its description in RNAcentral is "mir-3492 microRNA precursor family". It matches the Rfam family "mir-3492 microRNA precursor family". Lineage: Eukaryota; Metazoa; Platyhelminthes; Trematoda; Strigeidida; Schistosomatidae. The record is from Rfam by way of RNAcentral.
ACUCUUCUCUAUCCAUGCUGAGAUUUCGUCACACACUAGACCACAAGGGCUGAUGAGACUUCCAAGAUAAGUGAAGCG